RNAcentral lists this ribosomal RNA (263 nucleotides) under uncultured bacterium. RNAcentral's name for it is "partial 16S ribosomal RNA". It matches the Rfam family "Bacterial small subunit ribosomal RNA", at positions 90 to 354 of the family's 1533-position model. The record is from RNAcentral.
UUCGAGUGGCGACGGGUGAGUAACGCGUGGGUAACCUGCCUUACACAGGGGGAUAACACCUGGAAACAGGUGCUAAUACCGCAUAAGCGCACAGGGCCGCAUGGCCCGGUGUGAAAAACUCCGGUGGUGUAAGAUGGACCCGCGUCUGAUUAGCUUGUUGGCGGGGUAGAGGCCCACCAAGGCGACGAUCAGUAGCCGGCCUGAGAGGGUGGACGGCCACAUUGGGACUGAGACACGGCCCAAACUCCUACGGAAGGCAGCAG